AGGUGUUUAGAUGGUUACUGUGGG
This 24-nucleotide non-coding RNA is filed under the name Cricetulus griseus (Chinese hamster). Lineage: Eukaryota; Metazoa; Chordata; Mammalia; Rodentia; Cricetidae. The record is from RNAcentral.